This 364-nucleotide ribosomal RNA is filed under the name Salmonella enterica. RNAcentral describes it as "bacterial SSU rRNA". It matches the Rfam family "Bacterial small subunit ribosomal RNA", at positions 1 to 363 of the family's 1533-position model. RNAcentral also lists the same sequence under 1 other name. The record is from RNAcentral. Lineage: Bacteria; Pseudomonadati; Pseudomonadota; Gammaproteobacteria; Enterobacterales; Enterobacteriaceae.
AAAUUGAAGAGUUUGAUCAUGGCUCAGAUUGAACGCUGGCGGCAGGCCUAACACAUGCAAGUCGAACGGUAGCACAGAGAGCUUGCUCUCGGGUGACGAGUGGCGGACGGGUGAGUAAUGUCUGGGAAACUGCCUGAUGGAGGGGGAUAACUACUGGAAACGGUGGCUAAUACCGCAUAACGUCGCAAGACCAAAGAGGGGGACCUUCGGGCCUCUUGCCAUCAGAUGUGCCCAGAUGGGAUUAGCUGGUUGGUGAGGUAACGGCUCACCAAGGCGACGAUCCCUAGCUGGUCUGAGAGGAUGACCAGCCACACUGGAACUGAGACACGGUCCAGACUCCUACGGGAGGCAGCAGUGGGGAAUA